Molecule: long non-coding RNA, 654 nt
Filed under: Equus asinus (donkey)
Lineage: Eukaryota; Metazoa; Chordata; Mammalia; Perissodactyla; Equidae
Description: lncRNA (ENSEASG00005029465.1)
Source: RNAcentral
CAGUGUUCUGUGCUGUUCAGUGCAGUCAGCCCUAGCUACAUGUGGCUGCUGAGCACUUGAAAUGUGGCUAGUGCCACUGAGGAGGCAUUGACUAGACAAUCAAGAACUAUCUGCGGGAUGAAUAAAAGGUCCUGGCCAGUAGUCUCCGCAUCCCACCCAUUAGAUAUCUGGACAGAAUCCCAGGGCAUGAAGGGGAACAAACAAACGGGCCAGCAAGUCUGAAUCACACUAGCCCUGUGGCAUCUCGGAUUUCCGUCUCCACCACGUGUCACCUUGCGAGCCUGAGCAUCCUGUAGUGCUCCAUCAAGUCCUGGCACAUUGGUCUGCCUGAACCUGACAUGUCAGCAAUAGCCUGGCCAGGGAGAGACGACCAGGUGGCACAGGAUCACCUGCCACGCACCUCGGUCAAACGCCUCCCUCCUGUAGAGCACCCCUUCUCUGCUCAGGGGUGCAGGGGAAGAAACCACAGCUUCCCAGUGACCCACAGCCCCUUCUCAAGGGGUGCAGGGCUCAGAGACUGCCCUGCGCACAGCCUCUCACCCCCGUCACCACGGGGGCUCUGUGAUUUGAGCUGCCUCUCACCCCAGAGGGCACAAGAACUCCUAUCUGACAAGAGCUAUUUCUGUACAGAUGGAAAUAAAAGGGCCUCUCCCC